RNAcentral lists this ribosomal RNA (159 nucleotides) under Russula sp. NC-4-6003. RNAcentral describes it as "5.8S ribosomal RNA". It matches the Rfam family "5.8S ribosomal RNA". Rfam says of the family: 5.8S ribosomal RNA (5.8S rRNA) is a component of the large subunit of the eukaryotic ribosome. It is transcribed by RNA polymerase I as part of the 45S precursor that also contains 18S and 28S rRNA. Lineage: Eukaryota; Fungi; Basidiomycota; Agaricomycetes; Russulales; Russulaceae. The record is from RNAcentral.
UACAACUUUCAACAACGGAUCUCUUGGCUCUCUCAUCUAUGAAAAACGCACCGAAAUGCGAUACGCAAUGUGAAUAGCACAAUUCAGAGAAUCAUCUAAUCUUUGAACGCACCUUGCGCCCCUUGGGAUUUCGAGGGGCGCACCCGUUUGAGAGUGGUG